RNA transcript from Homo sapiens (human), 4529 nucleotides. It is a transcript of the gene named smoothelin, with no coding region annotated. Lineage: Eukaryota; Metazoa; Chordata; Mammalia; Primates; Hominidae. The record is from RefSeq and is marked reviewed. The transcript has 21 exons.
GCAGAAUCCAGGGGACGGUUGCUGAGCGGGCCUGGGACAGCGGGUCGCGGCACCUCCGGCCUGCGCGUGUCUAAUCCGUCUGUCGGGUCCCGAAAGAGCUAAGCCGAGCCUGCGCCGGACGGGUGGGCUGGACUGAGAGAAUUCUCUGAGCUGGUGACAGGUGCCACAGGCACUGGGGAUCUCACCAGAAAGGAACCGACGGAGCUAGGGGCCAGCGAGAUGGCGGACGAGGCCUUAGCUGGGCUGGAUGAGGGAGCCCUUCGGAAGCUGCUGGAGGUCACAGCAGAUCUGGCAGAGCGGCGGCGCAUCCGCUCAGCCAUCCGGGAACUGCAGCGGCAGGAGCUGGAGCGCGAGGAGGAGGCCCUGGCAUCCAAGCGUUUCCGUGCCGAGCGGCAGGACAACAAGGAGAACUGGCUGCACUCUCAGCAGCGGGAAGCUGAGCAGCGGGCUGCCCUGGCACGGCUGGCAGGGCAGCUGGAGUCCAUGAACGAUGUGGAGGAAUUGACUGCACUGUUGCGAAGCGCUGGUGAGUAUGAGGAGCGCAAGCUGAUCCGAGCUGCCAUCCGCCGUGUACGGGCUCAGGAGAUUGAGGCUGCCACCUUGGCUGGGAGGUUGUACAGCGGGCGUCCCAACAGUGGCUCAAGAGAGGACAGCAAGGGGCUAGCGGCACACAGGCUGGAACAGUGUGAGGUGCCAGAGCGAGAGGAACAGGAACAGCAGGCAGAGGUUUCAAAGCCAACCCCCACCCCUGAAGGCACCAGCCAGGAUGUGACCACAGUGACACUCCUGCUGCGAGCCCCACCUGGGAGCACAUCCAGCUCACCUGCCUCACCCAGCAGUUCACCCACCCCUGCCUCUCCUGAGCCUCCAUUGGAGCCUGCCGAGGCCCAGUGCCUUACAGCUGAGGUUCCAGGCAGCCCAGAGCCACCCCCCAGCCCACCCAAGACCACCAGCCCUGAGCCUCAGGAGUCUCCAACGCUCCCCAGCACUGAGGGCCAGGUGGUCAACAAGCUUCUGUCUGGCCCCAAAGAGACCCCUGCUGCCCAGAGCCCCACCAGAGGCCCCUCUGACACCAAGAGAGCAGGGAGUCCACCCAUCUCCCAGCUGGAGCUGUGGGCAGCACUGGCCAGGAGGGCUGUCCCCCCUCCCCAUCUGCAGAAAGGAUCUGGGCACCCUUCCUCCAGCCUAAGCCUCGCCUGGCCCCCAGGAGUGUCCAAGUCAUCCUAGGACGUGGCUGGACCCCGACCCUGCCAACGCUCCCUGUCGGUGCUCAGCCCCCGCCAACCAGCCCAGAACCGAGAGUCCACCCCCCUUGCCAGCGGACCUUCCUCAUUCCAGCGGGCUGGCUCUGUGCGGGAUCGUGUCCACAAGUUCACAUCUGAUUCUCCUAUGGCUGCUAGGCUCCAGGAUGGCACACCCCAGGCUGCCCUAAGUCCCCUGACCCCCGCAAGGCUCCUGGGCCCCUCCCUCACCAGCACCACCCCUGCCUCCUCCUCCAGCGGCUCCUCCUCUCGGGGCCCCAGUGAUACCUCCUCCCGGUUCAGCAAGGAGCAACGAGGAGUAGCCCAGCCCCUGGCCCAGCUUCGAAGCUGCCCCCAGGAGGAGGGCCCCAGGGGGCGGGGCUUGGCUGCUAGGCCCCUUGAAAACAGAGCAGGGGGGCCUGUGGCACGUUCAGAGGAGCCUGGUGCCCCGCUGCCCGUGGCCGUCGGCACUGCCGAGCCAGGGGGCAGUAUGAAGACCACAUUCACCAUCGAGAUCAAGGACGGCCGUGGCCAGGCCUCCACAGGCCGGGUGCUGCUGCCCACAGGCAACCAGAGGGCAGAACUGACACUGGGGCUGCGGGCGCCCCCGACCCUACUCAGCACCAGUAGUGGGGGCAAGAGCACCAUCACCCGUGUCAACAGCCCUGGGACCCUGGCUCGGCUGGGCAGUGUCACUCAUGUCACCAGCUUCAGCCAUGCCCCCCCCAGUAGCCGAGGAGGCUGCAGCAUCAAGAUGGAAGCAGAGCCAGCAGAGCCUCUCGCUGCAGCAGUGGAAGCGGCCAAUGGGGCUGAGCAGACCCGAGUGAACAAAGCACCAGAAGGGCGGAGCCCUCUGAGCGCUGAGGAGCUGAUGACUAUUGAGGAUGAAGGAGUCUUGGACAAGAUGCUGGAUCAGAGCACGGACUUUGAAGAGCGGAAGCUCAUCCGGGCUGCACUUCGUGAGCUCCGACAAAGGAAGAGAGACCCAGAUACUCCCUCCCGCAGCUACUCUCUCCUUGGAUCCAGUUGCCUCUCAAAGUACUGUCAACGACUCCUUCCCUGAAUCCAGAUACUCCUUCUCCCUGCUGCUCCUCUCUCCCUGAAGUCCAUUGAUGGCCAUCUUAGCCUCUGCCCCAUCCAGCUUCCCUUUUCCUGGACACAACUACUUCCUCCCCCAGAUAGUUCUUCCCUGGACACAUCUAUUCAUUCCCUUAGAUUCUGGGUUCAAUUGCUUCUCCUCUCAAACACUCUCAAUUACUCCUCUGAAUCUAGCUGCUUCUGCCAGGGCCCACUGAUGGCCACCCCAGUCUCUAUCUCUACCCACCUACUUCUAUUUUAAGCCCAGUUAACCCCCUUCACUAGCUUCUCUCCCAGCUACUCUUCCCCUGGAUCAGAUUGCUUCUCAGAUCCCAUCAAUUGCUCCCUUCCUGGAUCUAAAUAUUCCUGCCUCCAGCUGCUCUUCUCCUCCAACCAAAGACCUGCUGAUGGCCCACCCAGCUACUUCCUCACUCAGCUUCUCCUUCCUUGGACUCAGCUACCCCCUCACUAGAUCUAGAUACCCCUCCUGACUUAGCUACUCAUGCCUAUAGAAACCCUUUUUGGAUCCAUACCCCUUUGAGUUUAGCUACUCCGUAUUCUCUAGUUUCUGCCUGAGUCCAUCAAACCCUUCCCACACUCCAUUCCCUGUCAAGUUAUGGCUGUCCCCUCACCCCAGCUGCUCCUAGAGAGGCCCUUGUUACCUGUGUCAUUCAUGUUUCUAACAAGCCACCCUCCACCCCGUCUUGUGUGCCCCAUGCACCUGUGCAUCUGUGCUGUGUGGGUGUUGGUGGCCCUUUUGCGCAUGCAUGGGGCAUCCCCUGCCCAGACCAGCGGGACAAGGAGCGGGAACGGCGGCUGCAGGAGGCACGGGGCCGGCCAGGGGAGGGGCGCGGCAACACAGCCACUGAGACCACCACGAGGCACAGCCAGCGGGCAGCUGAUGGCUCUGCUGUCAGCACUGUUACCAAGACUGAGCGGCUCGUCCACUCCAAUGAUGGCACACGGACGGCCCGCACCACCACAGUGGAGUCGAGUUUCGUGAGGCGCUCGGAGAGUAAGGCCACCUGGUGUCGCCCUGUGCCUGCCUGCCUGUCCGCCCACCUCCUCCGGCUCUUCCUUGAGCUCUCUCUCCGUGUCUUCAACUGUGCCGUCACUUUCUCUUCUCUGCCUGCGGCUAUCACCACCCCUCCAUACAGCCUCCCAUCCCAUCUCCUGAUGUCCAGCCCAGGCCCUCACCUGGUGCCCCUUCCCCUUUUUUGCAGAUGGCAGUGGCAGCACCAUGAUGCAAACCAAGACCUUCUCCUCUUCCUCCUCAUCCAAGAAGAUGGGCAGCAUCUUCGACCGCGAGGACCAGGCCAGCCCACGGGCCGGCAGCCUGGCGGCGCUCGAGAAACGGCAGGCCGAGAAGAAGAAAGAGCUGAUGAAGGCGCAGAGUCUGCCCAAGACCUCAGCCUCCCAGGCGCGCAAGGCCAUGAUUGAGAAGCUGGAGAAGGAGGGCGCGGCCGGCAGCCCUGGCGGACCCCGCGCAGCCGUGCAGCGAUCCACCAGCUUCGGGGUCCCCAACGCCAACAGCAUCAAGCAGAUGCUGCUGGACUGGUGUCGAGCCAAGACUCGCGGCUACGAGCACGUCGACAUCCAGAACUUCUCCUCCAGCUGGAGUGAUGGGAUGGCCUUCUGUGCCCUGGUGCACAACUUCUUCCCUGAGGCCUUCGACUAUGGGCAGCUUAGCCCUCAGAACCGACGCCAGAACUUCGAGGUGGCCUUCUCAUCUGCGGAGACCCAUGCGGACUGCCCGCAGCUCCUGGAUACAGAGGACAUGGUGCGGCUUCGAGAGCCUGACUGGAAGUGCGUGUACACGUACAUCCAGGAAUUCUACCGCUGUCUGGUCCAGAAGGGGCUGGUAAAAACCAAAAAGUCCUAACCCCUGCUCGGGGCCCCACGGAUGCUGGUGGACUGUGUGCCCCUGGUGGAGGUGGACGACAUGAUGAUCAUGGGCAAGAAGCCUGACCCCAAGUGUGUCUUCACCUAUGUGCAGUCGCUCUACAACCACCUGCGACGCCACGAACUGCGCCUGCGCGGCAAGAAUGUCUAGCCUGCCCGCCCGCAUGGCCAGCCAGUGGCAAGCUGCCGCCCCCACUCUCCGGGCACCGUCUCCUGCCUGUGCGUCCGCCCACCGCUGCCCUGUCUGUUGCGACACCCUCCCCCCCACAUACACACGCAGCGUUUUGAUAAAUUAUUGGUUUUCAACGA